ACGGGUGAGUAACGCGUGGGAAUCUACCCAUCCCUAGGGGAUAACACAGAGAAAUUUGUGCUAAUACCCUAUACGCCCUUCGGGGGAAAGAUUUAUCGGGGAUGGAUGAGCCCGCGUAGGAUUAGCUAGUUGGUGGGGUAAUGGCCUACCAAGGCGACGAUCCUUAGCUGGUCUGAGAGGAUGACCAGCCACACUGGGACUGAGACACGGCCCAGACUCCUACGGGAGGCAGCAGUGGGGAAUAUUGGACAAUGGGCGCAAGCCUGAUCCAGCCAUGCCGCGUGAGUGAUGACGGCCUUAGGGUUGUAAAGCUCUUUCACCCACGACGAUAAUGACGGUAGUGGGAGAAGAAGCCCCGGCUAACUUCGUGCCAGCAGCCGCGGUAAUACGAAGGGGGCUAGCGUUGUUCGGAUUUACUGGGCGUAAAGCGUACGUAGGCGGAUCAAUAAGUCAGAGGUGAAAUCCCGGAGCUCAACUUCGGAACUGCCUUUGAUACUGUUGGUCUUGAGUUUCGGGAGAGGUGAGUGGAACUGCUAGU
This 538-nucleotide ribosomal RNA is filed under the name uncultured bacterium. Its description in RNAcentral is "bacterial SSU rRNA". It matches the Rfam family "Bacterial small subunit ribosomal RNA", at positions 102 to 674 of the family's 1533-position model. The record is from RNAcentral.